UACGUAGGGGGCUAGCGUUGUCCGGAAUCAUUGGGCGUAAAGAGCGUGUAGGCGGCCCGGUAAGUCCGCUGUGAAAGUCGGGGGCUCAACCCUCGAAUGCCGGUGGAAACUGUCGGGCUAGAGUGCGGAAGAGGCGAGUGGAAUUCCUGGUGUAGCGGUGAAAUGCGCAGAUAUCAGGAGGAACACCGAUUGCGAAGGCAGCUCGCUGGGACGUAACUGACGCUGAGACGCGAAAGCGUGGGGAGCAAACAGG
RNAcentral lists this ribosomal RNA (253 nucleotides) under uncultured bacterium. RNAcentral describes it as "partial 16S ribosomal RNA". It matches the Rfam family "Bacterial small subunit ribosomal RNA", at positions 524 to 776 of the family's 1533-position model. The record is from RNAcentral.